CCACAGUGACACAUGCCCAUACAAAAACCUCCCCAGUCCAGCAUGUAGCAGAGGAUUUUUUUGGGACACAGAAACAAAGGACCUACAGAGUUGAAGAAUGUCUAAAACAUUGACCAAAGUCUUAAAUGUCAAACUGUCAUCAAGGAGAAGUCCAGAGAGAACAGUCAAAGCAACCAAAGCUGCAGAGAUAAUCCACCAGAGACUUCAUCCCUCCUCUCUGACAUACACACAUCAGCAAGUGAUCACAUUUGACACUCAACAUACGCACACUCAAUAAAGACAGCAUACAUACAUAUAUACAUACAUACAUAAAAUACAUGCUUUUUUAAUAUAUAUUUCUUUACAAAAGCAGACAUGAGCCAGAA
Entelurus aequoreus (snake pipefish) is the source of this 365-nucleotide long non-coding RNA. RefSeq lists it as uncharacterized. The record is from RefSeq and is a predicted model, not a curated record. NCBI's taxonomy places the organism in Eukaryota, Metazoa, Chordata, Actinopteri, Syngnathiformes, Syngnathidae. The transcript has 3 exons.